RNAcentral lists this long non-coding RNA (1978 nucleotides) under Equus caballus (horse). Its description in RNAcentral is "lncRNA (ENSECAG00000049699.1)". The record is from RNAcentral. Lineage: Eukaryota; Metazoa; Chordata; Mammalia; Perissodactyla; Equidae.
CAUAAGAGCUGGGAGGCCAGGUUUGAAUUCAGAAUUCCAGGGCUCUCUGGAGUUCCACUCCAGAAUGUGGCAGAGCUCGUUCAGAAUGUGGGGAGAGCUCAUCCAGGUCAAGGCCUGGCCCCUUGCCUGUGUCCCCACAACUUCCUCUGGCACUGCCAAGGCCUCUGCUGCGCACACGCAGACACCCGGCCCGAAGUCCCAGUUCCACCCACCCUUCCACGGAGAGCUGCCCCUGGCGGCCCACACACCUGCACACUUGAUUUGGGUCACCUUUGGAGGACGUACCCAGGAAGGAGCUCUGAGAGGAAGCCCCCUGCCAUUUGGGCAGGAAAUUCAGAGUCCCAGGUCAGGGCUCCCAGAGCAGGUGCCCCAAGACAGGAAGUGAAAGCUGCCAGACACUUAAAGCCCGGACCCGGGAACCAGGACAGCAGCCCUUCCACCAUUCCCUAUCAGUCAACUGGCUCUAGAUCCCAACCUCGUUCACAGAGAAGGGACAGAGAGUCCACAUCUCAAUGGGAAAAGGAGCAAAGAACUGUGGCCAUCUUUAAUCUAUCACAGAUGGAAAAUUUACAGGUGAAGAAGCUGAGGCCCAAAGAGGUGAGGGACUUGGACAGCAGCAUGUGGUGGAGCGCGUGCUCCCUCCUACCCAACGCUUUGGCCUUGGAAUGUCCAGCCCACUGGAGAUAUGAAACUUGCACUCAUGAGAUAAUCGGCAGGAAAUAAAGAGAGCUCUUUCUGUGACCUUCUCCAACUCAACAACCCCAACGACACUGGGUCUGACGGAGCUCUUCGGGAACCCCAUCAGGACAACCCCUUUCACCUGUAAGUGUUUAUUGCACAAGAGCAACCCUCACAGUCGACCCAGGUGAAGCCACCCCCCCUCACAGGUAACCGAAAUACACCUGGGCCGCCUCUGAGUUGAACUCAAAUGGAACAUGGCGCUCUCCCAAAGCCUCGACAAUUUUCCUAAAGUCUCUUGAAGAGGGAGAGACAGGAGGACAGAAAGGAGAGGCGCUCGGGAACCGUAUGCCAAACCCGCAGCCCACGGUCCACUUCCUGAAAACCCUGGUACCCACUUCUCUCUCCAGAGCCCCACAACCACAGGGCGGGCGCUCCUCCGCCUUCCCCUCACGCUCAAACUCCGCGGGGCCCGCUGGCUCCUCGAGCACUCAGCCCCGCUUCCCCGCUCUCUCCCGCACACCCUGCCAACAGUUUCCUUCCGAGAGUAGCCCUAAGUGCUUUCUUUUGAAAAUCAAUUUAGCCUCUCUAACCUCUAGCAUUUUCCUGUGGCCUCCUCAGCCAUUAUCCCAAUUAACACAACAAAGGGCCGGGUUCGGAAGGCCGUGCAGAGUCAAGGGGAAAGGCUGUGAAUAAAAACCUGUUUGUCACUGUCGUUUGUCUUAUUGGGUGUGAUGGAAGAUUCUGAGCCGCAGCUGAGGGCACCUGGCUUUCACCUCAGCCCAGUCGUUCAUUACGUGUGCGACCUCCCUCCAACAGGUCGUUUAACAGUAGGACCUUCACUUAAGAAUAGAAACUGGGGAUAGCGGCUCCCCCCUGUGGGAUGAGAGACACUGUGAACUUUGAACCUGCCAGGUCUGGAGAUGAAGAGGGAUAGCCAGGAUCCUGUUUUGGACAAAAAGCAUCACCGAGUCUCACCCUGAGGAAACAGAUCCAAACUGAAGAACAUUUCCCAAAACAACGGGUCUGUGGUCCUCAGAAAUGCCAAGGUGAGACAGGACAAAGGGAGGAGAGCAGAGAGACACGCCAGCUGAACGCACUGUGUGAUCUGGGGUCAGGUCCCCAGUCUGGGGAGCGGGGUUUCUGUAAAGGACCUUGAAGGGACAAGUGGGGAAAUGUACAUGAAUCGUGCGUUAGAUAAAAGCUUUGAGUCCGUGUCGGCUCUCUUGAAUCCGGUAAAUCGUGCAGAGGGUAAGAUGACGCCCUCGUGUUUUGGAGAUACACGCUGAAGUAUUUAGGG